This 286-nucleotide non-coding RNA is filed under the name Drosophila willistoni. RNAcentral's name for it is "Eukaryotic large subunit ribosomal RNA". It matches the Rfam family "Eukaryotic large subunit ribosomal RNA", at positions 1 to 273 of the family's 3401-position model. Lineage: Eukaryota; Metazoa; Arthropoda; Insecta; Diptera; Drosophilidae. The record is from Rfam by way of RNAcentral.
CAAUCUCAAUUCAUAUGGGACUACCCCCUUAAUUUAAGCAUAUUAAUUAGGGGAGGAAAAUAAACUAACAAGGAUUUUCUUAGUAGCGGCGAGCGAAAAGAAAAUAGUUCACUAGGUCACUUUGUCUUUAUGGCAAAUGUGAGAUGCAGUGUAUGGAGCUUCAAUAUUCUAGUAUGAGAAAUUAACGAUUUAAGCCCUUCUUAGAUGAUGCCAUUUACCAAUAGAGGGUGCCAGGCCAGUAUAACGUUAAUGAUUACUAGAUGGUGUUUUUAAAGAGUCGUGUGCU